Molecule: ribosomal RNA, 253 nt
Filed under: uncultured bacterium
Lineage: Bacteria
Description: partial 16S ribosomal RNA
Rfam family: Bacterial small subunit ribosomal RNA
Source: RNAcentral
UACGUAGGGGGCGAGCGUUGUCCGGAAUUAUUGGGCGUAAAGGGCGCGCAGGCGGCUCGUUAAGUCUGGUGUGAAAGCCCGGGGCUCAACCCCGGGAUGGCAUUGGAAACUGGGGAGCUUGAGUGCAGGAGAGGGGAGCGGAAUUCCUGGUGUAGCGGUGAAAUGCGUAGAGAUCAGGAGGAACACCGGUGGCGAAGGCGGCUCUCUGGCCUGUAACUGACGCUGAGGCGCGAAAGCGUGGGGAGCGAACAGG